UACGAAGGGGCCUAGCGUUGCUCGGAUUUACUGGGCGUAAAGGGCGCGUAGGCGGAUGACCAAGUUGGGGGUGAAAUCCCGGGGCUUAACCUCGGAACUGCCUCCAAAACUGGUCGUCUUGAGUUUGGGAGAGGUGUGUGGAACUCCGAGUGUAGAGGUGAAAUUCGUAGAUAUUCGGAAGAACACCAGUGGCGAAGGCGACACACUGGCCCAAUACUGACGCUGAGGCGCGAAAGCGUGGGGAGCAAACAGG
This 253-nucleotide ribosomal RNA is filed under the name uncultured bacterium. RNAcentral describes it as "partial 16S ribosomal RNA". It matches the Rfam family "Bacterial small subunit ribosomal RNA", at positions 524 to 776 of the family's 1533-position model. The record is from RNAcentral.